RNAcentral lists this ribosomal RNA (262 nucleotides) under uncultured Stenotrophomonas sp. RNAcentral's name for it is "partial 16S ribosomal RNA". It matches the Rfam family "Bacterial small subunit ribosomal RNA", at positions 91 to 354 of the family's 1533-position model. The record is from RNAcentral. Lineage: Bacteria; Pseudomonadati; Pseudomonadota; Gammaproteobacteria; Lysobacterales; Lysobacteraceae.
CGGAGUGGCGGACGGGUGAGGAAUACAUCGGAAUCUACUCUGUCGUGGGGGGAUAACGUAGGGAAACUUACGCUAAUACCGCAUACGACCUACGGGUGAAGCAGGGGAUCUUCGGACCUUGCGCGAUUGAAUGAGCCGAUGUCGGAUUAGCUAGUUGGCGGGGUAAAGGCCCACCAAGGCGACGAUCCGUAGCUGGUCUGAGAGGAUGAUCAGCCACACUGGAACUGAGACACGGUCCAGACUCCUACGGGAGGCAGCAGGG